RNAcentral lists this ribosomal RNA (759 nucleotides) under Neisseria subflava. RNAcentral describes it as "bacterial SSU rRNA". It matches the Rfam family "Bacterial small subunit ribosomal RNA", at positions 28 to 776 of the family's 1533-position model. Lineage: Bacteria; Pseudomonadati; Pseudomonadota; Betaproteobacteria; Neisseriales; Neisseriaceae. The record is from RNAcentral.
AUUGAACGCUGGCGGCAUGCUUUACACAUGCAAGUCGGACGGCAGCACAGAGAAGCUUGCUUCUUGGGUGGCGAGUGGCGAACGGGUGAGUAAUAUAUCGGAACGUACCGAGUAAUGGGGGAUAACUAAUCGAAAGAUUAGCUAAUACCGCAUAUUCUCUGAGGAGGAAAGCAGGGGACCUUCGGGCCUUGCGUUAUUCGAGCGGCCGAUAUCUGAUUAGCUAGUUGGUGGGGUAAAGGCCUACCAAGGCGACGAUCAGUAGCGGGUCUGAGAGGAUGAUCCGCCACACUGGGACUGAGACACGGCCCAGACUCCUACGGGAGGCAGCAGUGGGGAAUUUUGGACAAUGGGCGCAAGCCUGAUCCAGCCAUGCCGCGUGUCUGAAGAAGGCCUUCGGGUUGUAAAGGACUUUUGUCAGGGAAGAAAAGGCUGUUGCUAAUAUCGACAGCUGAUGACGGUACCUGAAGAAUAAGCACCGGCUAACUACGUGCCAGCAGCCGCGGUAAUACGUAGGGUGCGAGCGUUAAUCGGAAUUACUGGGCGUAAAGCGAGCGCAGACGGUUACUUAAGCAGGAUGUGAAAUCCCCGGGCUCAACCUGGGAACUGCGUUCUGAACUGGGUGACUAGAGUGUGUCAGAGGGAGGUAGAAUUCCACGUGUAGCAGUGAAAUGCGUAGAGAUGUGGAGGAAUACCGAUGGCGAGGGCAGCCUCCUGGGAUGACACUGACGUUCAUGCUCGAAAGCGUGGGUAGCAAACAGG